Parus major (Great Tit) is the source of this 1623-nucleotide long non-coding RNA. NCBI's taxonomy places the organism in Eukaryota, Metazoa, Chordata, Aves, Passeriformes, Paridae. The record is from Ensembl.
UUGCCCAUUUCUUAUGUGUUUAAAGACUAAUUAUAAGAAUAAAGAUUUAGUGAUCAAUGCAGAAUUCUAAUUUAAUUGUUGAGUAUUAGAAUGCAUUUUCUCCCCCUCUUCUAACUUAGAAACUGAAUUUUUUUUUUUUUUCAUUUUUUUCCUACCUGGCAAAAGCUAAUUUAAUCCAACUGGAUUGCACAUUCGAAAUGUACAGAAUUUUGGUCCGAUUUACCGAGUAUCACUCCCUGGAUAUAGCUCAAUUUUCCCUCACAGGACUGACAGAUGCCUAAAUGCAAGAGAUUGUUCUUGUCAAGGGAGGCACUGACACAAAUUCAGUUGUGUGGGUUGUUGGCUCUGUCUGAUGUUGUCCCUUCUAAUGCUACAGAACAAAUCACCUUGCACAAGGAUCUGGGAAUCUCAUUGCUGCUCUCUUUGUUCGGGCCCAGAGGUUCCUCUUCUGCUGCACUUGUAUCUUGCAAGGGUGAGUGCCACUGCUGCAGCCUGUUGUGAGGAAGAGAGUUGGCUUUAGCUGAUGGAGGGAAAGGUUGUGGAGUUGCAGCCUCUUCCACGUGUUAAGAAACCAGCCAGGAACUUCUGGCCUAUGAAAAGAAUGAAUGUGGUAACCAGGGGGAAACUAUGACACUUCUGAGUUGUGGAGGAGAAUUUAUUUGUGAAAGAUCCUGAAAGCUAAAUCUUCUUUUCAGUGGCUGUCCAUGUACAUCAUUUAUAUCUAUAAAGACUGUCAAGAUCAGACCUGUUGCCUUGAACCUAAAGAUAGAUUUGGAAAAUCUCUGCUUCUUUAAUGUGCUUUUGUUUGGAUAGUUGUUGUUGGGGUUUUUGUUUGGGAUUUUUUAUUACUUGUGGUAAAUUUGUCUCUGUGUGAGGUAUUUCUGUAGAGGAAAGCUUGUUCUCAAGCUUACCUUGUACGACACAGUAAAUGGAGCAGCUCUUCUCUUUGUCUGCAGGUUUUCAAAUGGCAAAAAUAUAACCAGGUAUUAACUUCUGCUCCAGGUGCUCAAAAUGCCAAUUUGAUGGUAUCUUCCCACUGGCCAGUUCUGAAUCUGUUUCCAAAAGAGGUGACACAAGUGGGUAGAGCUGAUGUGGUUAAAGCAGAGGAGUAGGAUUCCUUUUCUGUGUGCAGAUGUUGUCUUGCUCAGUAGGUGAUAAAGCUGUGUUUUGCUCACCGGUCCUGGAUGUAACAGCUGUUGUUGUUACAAUGAUUAUAACAUGAGCUGUAAUGAGUUCUUAGCACUUUGUACUUGCAAUGGAUACUCCCUUUGAAAAAGUGCAUGGUGUAAUGUCUGUAAUCUGAGAGUAUUCAUUUAAUGUAUGUUACAAAUACAGUACAAUUAUACAACACUGAUUCACAGCAAUGACCAUCUUAAACAUGCACUCAGAAGUUGGAUUCAGUUUAAAUUUGUGUUUCCAUUUUAUCCAUGUCCUACACAACAAAUGCCAGCAAAUAUUUUUGGAUUAUCUAUGCAAUUGAGGAAUUACUUUCUUUUCACCUAUGAAACUUAUUUUAGAUUAUUGUAAUGAAGUACAAAAAUUCAUCUUUUGGUGCAUUGGAAUCAUACUGAUGCCAAUUCAGUAGAUAAUAAAUGAUUUGUAUGUAUGGGUUUUUGCUAAACU